UAGCAUAUCAAUAAGCGGAGGAAAAGAAACCAACAGGGAUUGCCUCAGUAACGGCGAGUGAAGCGGCAACAGCUCAAAUUUGAAAUCUGGCCUCUUUGGGGUCCGAGUUGUAAUUUGUAGAGGAUGUUUCGGGUACCGCCUCGGUUUAAAUUUCUUGGAACAGAAUGUCAAAGAGGGUGAGAAUCCCGUCUUGGACCGGCGGUAGGGCCCAUGUGAAACUCCUUCGACGAGUCGAGUUGUUUGGGAAUGCAGCUCAAAAUGGGUGGUAAAUUUCAUCUAAAGCUAAAUAUUGGCCAGAGACCGAUAGCGCACAAGUAGAGUGAUCGAAAGAUGAAAAGCACUUUGAAAAGAGAGUUAAACAGUAUGUGAAAUUGUUGAAAGGGAAGCGCUUACAACCAGACUUGCGCGCGGCGGUUCCCCCUUCCUUUUGGUUGGGCUACUCCGUCGUGUCCAGGCCAACAUCGGUUCUGGGGGUCGGUUAAAGACCCUGGGAAUGUACCUACCCUUCGGGCGUAGACUUAUAGCCCAGGGUGUCAUGCGACCUCCCGGGACCGAGGAACGCGCUUCGGCUCGGAUGUUGGCGUAAUGGUUGUCAGCGACCCGUCUUGAAACACGGACCAAGGAGUCUAACAUCUAUGCGAGUGUUUGGGUGUCAAACCCGGAACGCGAAAUGAAAGUGAACGGAGGUGGGAAGCCGUGAGGCUGCACCAUCGACCGAUCCUGAUGUCUUCGGAUGGAUUUGAGUAAGAGCAUAGCUGUUGGGACCCGAAAGAUGGUGAACUAUGCCUGAAUAGGGUGAAGCCAGAGGAAACUCUGGUGGAGGCUCGCAGCGGUUCUGACGUGCAAAUCGAUCGUCAAAUUUGGGUAUAGGGGCGAAAGACUAAUCGAACCAUC
RNAcentral lists this ribosomal RNA (894 nucleotides) under Exophiala equina. RNAcentral describes it as "LSU rRNA". It matches the Rfam family "Eukaryotic large subunit ribosomal RNA", at positions 36 to 944 of the family's 3401-position model. The record is from RNAcentral. Lineage: Eukaryota; Fungi; Ascomycota; Eurotiomycetes; Chaetothyriales; Herpotrichiellaceae.